GCCGGGCAUGGUGGCUCACGCCUGUAAUCCCAGCACUUUGGGAGGCUGAGGUGGGUGGAUCACCUGAGGUCAGGAGUUCGAGACCAGCCUGGCCAACAUGGUGAAACCCCAUCUCUA
Unclassified non-coding RNA from Macaca mulatta (Rhesus monkey), 117 nucleotides. It matches the Rfam family "Metazoan signal recognition particle RNA". From Rfam's summary of the family: The signal recognition particle (SRP) is a universally conserved ribonucleoprotein. NCBI's taxonomy places the organism in Eukaryota, Metazoa, Chordata, Mammalia, Primates, Cercopithecidae. The record is from Ensembl.